UACGUAGGGUGCAAGCGUUGUCCGGAAUUAUUGGGCGUAAAGGGCUCGUAGGCGGUCUGUCGCGUCUGGUGUGAAAAUCCAGGGCUUAACCCUGGACCUGCAUCGGGUACGGGCAGACUAGAGUGCGGUAGGGGAGAUCGGAAUUCCUGGUGUAGCGGUGAAAUGCGCAGAUAUCAGGAGGAACACCGGUGGCGAAGGCGGAUCUCUGGGCCGUAACUGACGCUGAGGAGCGAAAGCAUGGGGAGCGAACAGG
This 253-nucleotide ribosomal RNA is filed under the name uncultured bacterium. RNAcentral describes it as "partial 16S ribosomal RNA". It matches the Rfam family "Bacterial small subunit ribosomal RNA", at positions 524 to 776 of the family's 1533-position model. The record is from RNAcentral.